RNAcentral lists this unclassified non-coding RNA (845 nucleotides) under Hevea brasiliensis (rubber tree). Lineage: Eukaryota; Viridiplantae; Streptophyta; Magnoliopsida; Malpighiales; Euphorbiaceae. The record is from RNAcentral.
CAAGAAGCAAGAAAACGUGGGGGAUUUAAAGAGUAAAGCACAAAACUAUGGGUCGAAAGGCAACCAAUCCACGCCUAUACAGAUUGAGGACUCAGAUUGUGCUGUAGAGAUUGAGUGUCCUGGCAGGGAUAUCCAUUCAGGGAGAGAUACCAAGAAGCAAGAAAAUGAAGUGGAUUUAAAGAGUAAAGCACUAAAUAAUGGGUCCACAAGCAACCAAUCCGCACCCAUACAGAUUGAGGAUUCAGAUUGCUCCAUUCAAGAAUUCAGAGGAAAGUCCAACGAAUCGAGGAGUGAAAAUAGUGUUGGUAAGCAAGCUGGAAGGCCUUCAAGUUCAAAUGUUUCUACAGCUCUUGAAGCUGCCAACAAAUUUACCUCAAGCUAUCCAUAUCUCAAGGUCAUUAUGGAUGCAUAUUGUAAAGGGCCUCUCUAUUUGAGAAUACCUAUUACCUUUAUCCGGGAGCAUAUGAAAUGUGAAACUCAUACUGUGGGGCUUAAGGUAAUAGGUAUUCUCAAAAACAUGGCUUGUGAAUUUGUAUGUUAGUAAAAGAUCAGGUCAACUUUGUGGUGGUUGGCCUGUGUUUGUGAGGGAAAAUUGUCUGAAGAAAGGAGACAUAUGCAUCUUUGAGCUGGUUGGAAGGAGAAUGAUGAAUGUGCACAUUUUCAGGCGGCCUUGUGGUGCUUAACUGGUUGCUGCUAUUGCCCCUUUGCUAUCAGAAGUCUCUUUCUUUUCAUCCUCAAUGUAUGAGAAAAUGUAACUUUCAGUUUUAAAUUGGUCGGGGAAAUGGCCUAUUUUUGGGACUCCAUCAUGAGUCAUUAGCACUUGGCAUAACCUUUUUGAGUUUUCU